Molecule: ribosomal RNA, 1539 nt
Filed under: metagenome
Description: SSU rRNA
Rfam family: Eukaryotic small subunit ribosomal RNA
Source: RNAcentral
UUGGGGAGAAUUAGGGUUCGAUUCCGGAGAGGGAGCCUGAGAGAUGGCUACUACUUCCAAGGAAGGCAGCAGGCGCGCAAAUUACCCAAUGAUAAUUCAUCGAGGUAGUGACAAUAAAUAACAAUGUGGGACUCGAUAAGGGUCUCACAAUUGGAAUGAGUACAAGUUAAAAAGAUUAACGAGGAACAAUUGGAGGGCAAGUCUGGUGCCAGCAGCCGCGGUAAUUCCAGCUCCAAUAGCGUAUAUUAAAGUUGUUGCGGUUAAAAAGCUCGUAGUUGAAACGAGGGAUGUGGUAAUAGAAUCGGUCUGCGGGGAUGGUGUGUACUGUUCGACCUUUCUCGAUAGUGUGUUUCUGGGAUUGCUGCCUUCUGCUCUUAAUUGAGUGGGGGGUUUGCUCCAGAUCGUUUACUUUGAAAAAAUUAGAGUGUUUAAAGCAGGCUACAUUAAUGUAUGCCAAUGAAUAGAUUAGCAUGGGAUAAUAGAAUAAGACAUCACGGUUUACUAUUAGGGUUUUGUAUAGUGGGCUAAUUAGGUGUAAUGAUUAAUAGAGAUAGUCGGGGGUAUUCAUAUUUAAUUGUCAGAGGUGAAAUUCUUGGAUUUAUGAAAGAUGAACUUAUGCGAAAGCAUCUAUCAAGGAUGUUUUCAUUAAUCAAGAUCGAAAGUUAGGGGAUCGAAGACGAUCAGAUACCGUCGUAGUCUUAACUAUAAACUAUGCGGACCGGAGAUUAUGAGACGUUACAUGGAUGACUCCCAUAGCAUCUUGUGAGAAAUCACGAGUUUUUGCGUUCUGGGGGGAGUAUGGUCGCAAGGCUGAAACUUAAAGGAAUUGACGGAAAGGCACCACCAGGAGUGGAACCUGCGGCUUAAUUUGACCCAACACGGGGAAACUCACCAGGUCCAGACAUAGUAAGGAUUGACAGAUUGAGAGCUCUUUCUUGAUUCUAUGGGUGGUGGUGCAUGGCCGUUCUUAGUUGGUGGAGUGAUUUGUCUGGUUGAUUCCGAUAACGAACGAGACCUCAGCCUACUAAAUAGUUACUGAAAUCGUCUUUAACAAGGAGUGAAGGCGAGAGACUAGGGGGGCGUUUAACCUCUCUAGUAACUCGUUGGAUCUCUUGAUGUAUUUACGGGAUAUACUUCUUAGAGGGACACGUGUAUGUUUAAUCACGGGAAGUUUGAGGCAAUAACAGGUCUGUGAUGCCCUUAGAUGUUCUGGGCCGCACGCGCGUUACACUGAACUGAUCAACGAGUAUACCACCUGGAUCGAUGGGUCCGGGUAAUCUUAUGAAAUCAGUUCGUGCUGGGGAUAGAUGUUUGCAAUUAUUCGUCUUCAACGAGGAAUUCCUAGUAAGCGCAAGUCAUCAACUUGCGCUGAUUACGUCCCUGCCUUUUGUACACACCGCCCGUCGCUCCUACCGAUUGAAUGAUCCGGUGAAACCUUCGGAUUGUGGCGUAUACCGUUUGGGGAAACCUAGAUGGCAACGUUUACGAGAAGUUGGUUAAACCUUAUUAUUUAGAGGAAGGAGAAGUCGCAACAAGGUU